This 3347-nucleotide unclassified non-coding RNA is filed under the name Hevea brasiliensis (rubber tree). The record is from RNAcentral. Lineage: Eukaryota; Viridiplantae; Streptophyta; Magnoliopsida; Malpighiales; Euphorbiaceae.
GAUUGAUGAGAUCAAAUUAUAUUAUGGUCAAAGGCUCAAAGUAAAAGAGACCAUUUCUGCUGCGUUCUGUACUUGAGAUAAUCAAAUAAAGCUGAAACUAAUCAUGAAUGCAGAGGUCAUCCCAUAUUGCAAAAAUCAUUUCACAGACUUCAAUCAUAUUUGCCUUUAAAGCUUCCCUCCACCAUUACUUUGAAGAUCUUCUUCAUAUAAGAGGAUGCUAAAAGGAUAAUAAUGUUCAGAAAAUUUCAGCGCUUGUUCAUGAAACGAUGCUACCUACAACUCCGUUGAGGCAUUAACCCACCAAUUUUCUCCACCAACUAAUUAAAGCAAAACCCACAUAAAAAACAAUCUUAUAUGCCCCUUGUUCUAAUUUUCUUCCCCGUGCAAAAACCUUUUUAACUUGCUAAAUUACACUAGCCUAUGCAUCUGUCCAAGAAGCAAAAACAGGCAGGUGAGGCAAGGUGACUGCAGGCCUCAGUUGGGCUGUUGUGAUCCAAGAAUUCACAUUAUUUGUUGGAUUUGUGAACAACUUGGAUGUUGCUGAGGGAGGUAUUGCAAAGAGCAUUGGCAGGCUAGCUCUAUCUGGGCUGCCUUCUCUCGAGCUACUUAAACUUGUCACCAAUGAUGAAGCAUUUGACAAGUGAGUUCCCAUCUUGGUUGAGUCUUCUACUUCUUGCUGAUGAACUGAGCUCAUGGCAUCAAUUCCUGUCAUAUUCUCUGGGGUCAAUGGGAAGACCUGAGUUUUGUAAUUAUCGAUAGCAUUGGUUGCCUUUUGAUCGAGUUGCUGCUGGGAGGAUUGAUAGAGGACCAUUUUCCAGUCUGGCUCACUUUCAUUGUUCUUCUGUGAGGGAAUGGCUUCCCCAAUGCUGUUUAGAGUUGGAGGAUUGUGAUUUGUAGCCUCAUUGCCAGAUCCCGUGUCUUUGUUUCUCCUUGCUAGCUCCGCAGCAAGAAGUGUAUUGCUCGCCAUGAUUCGUUCCACAUCGUACCUCGUUAUGUCAAAGUUGGUUACAGCGUUAACUCCACGAAAUUUUAUAGCUGCUAUGUCAUAAGCUUCAGCUGCUUCCUCCUGGGUACCUGAAGUUUCAGAGGAAUUAAGAAUCAGAAGUAGCUGCUUCAAAUAAGAAGCAUGGCAAUCCCAUCAUCAAUAACCAUCGCUUGCUAGUGGGUCUGUGGAGUAUCAAAUUGGCCUAAAAGAGUUAAAUUAUGAUUGCCUAAGAUUGGCUUCUUAAAGUCAAAAGGCACCCACUCUUUUUGUUAUAAAUUCCCUAAACAUGAUUUGCAGAAUGUGAACACACAACUUUUGGCAUAUAGAAACAGAGUUGGCUUAAGAAACUCACUGAAUGUUCCUAGAUAAAGGUCUUUAUUUCCAGCAACCCUUCCGAUCCUAGCUUGCCAUCUUCCAUGUUGAUGAUGUCUGGAAAAAAUUGAAACAGAAAGAUUUCAGGGGGAAACAAGUAAAAAAAAGUUUCUUUUCUUAGACAAAAAGAGCAUGUGAACAACUUUAAGUACGUUGAGUAAAUUAAGUAAGGUUUAUUAGAUUAGACCUUGUUACUCCUCUGUAAAUAGAAGCCCCCCUAGAGAAUCCACUGCUUUUCCUUCUCAAAUGAGCAACAUACUCUUGUCUAGUCAUGUUCUUCAUUUCUUCAAGUUCUUUUUGAUAAUUUUCCAAAGGGAAAUUGAUAUGAGUAGAGGGACCCCAAUACUUGAGAGCAGCUAGAUCAUAAGCUCUUGCAGCUUUUUCUUCCAUAUCAUAGCCCCCCAGAUAAACUUGCCUUCCUUUUCUGCUUUGUCCUUCUUUCUUGCAACUAUUGUCCCACAAAUGGGCUUCAUAUCUCCCAGUCCAUCUGUGCCUUGUAACACCUCUGUACUGUGAGGUUCUUUGCCCAAAUGUAUCAAUGGACUUCCUAUGAACAAUUUGCUUCUGAUCCACCUUAUCAGGCCCUCUUUUCUUGGUUUCCAUGGCUGCACAGUCAGUCACAGCAGGUGAGAUUUGUUGAGAACCAGUAACGCAGCUUGAUUGGGAGCCAGGACUCAUGGACAAGCUCAAAGACUGCAAAUCCCCAUAUGCCAUUGCACUAAUAGCUCCAGAUUCACCUCCAUUUUCACCCAUGCAACUUAUCAUCUUCUGCUGGUCCAUUGCGGGGUUACUUGGGUAGUUCCUUGAAACCCAAUUCCUCAUGCGUUUUAUCUCAUCAUCUCCAAUUGUUGGAAGCUGAAGAUUGCAAUCUGAAACCUGCUGAGUCUCUUUGGGCUCCUCUCCUACUAACAUUUCAUAGCUCCUGAAGUUAGUAUUGUAAUAUGGGUAGUGUUCGACUUGAAUCUGGUGAUGUUGUUGGUGCCUGUUGGGGUUUUGCUGAAGAUGAUUUAGGUAAUUUUGGUCGUUGGGCUGAUGCUCUGGGUCUUGGUGAUAAUACAUACUGUCCAAGCUAAGAGGCAUAGCUUCUCUAUCAUUGGUUUCAUAUUGAUGGGUCCCCAUGGUUGCACCACCGAAGAAGUCCUCCAGUUUUGGAGUUGAAGAUGUUACCAUUGUUGCUUUAAGCUGUGAUCUGGUGAGAGCUUCCAUUAUACAAAGAGAACCGUCAGACUUUAGUGGCAUCGCUGGCAAGGGAGAGAACCCACCAUUGUCACCUUCAACAUCAAAUAAAUUGCAAUAAUUUAGGUUUGAAUGUGGUUGGGAGUGGAAAAGGCUUGCUGAGAUUGCAGUAGGAACAGAAGCAGAUGCAGACUGCGCUUGGUGAUGGUGAUUAACACCAGAAGGAACUUCCAUUUUCAUGUGAGGAGAGAGGGAGAAACCUAACCAGUUAGUAUUGUUGUUGUCCUGGUCAUCAUUGUUCAUGGACUUCAUUUCUUAACUGUGUACCUUCUAGCUUGGUAGAGAUUCUUGGUAUGUUUCUGUUUCUCUUGAGGCAAGGCAACUCAAUCAUUGGGGAGAAAUGAACUAAUCAUAGGCCUAACAUAUAUUUCUCUCUCUCUAUGCUUCCUCUAAUUUUUGGAACUCUUUUUUUCCUUUUCUUUUCUUUUGUUCUCUAGCUGCAAAAAUGGAUUGGAUCAAAUCCAACCGCUCAUUUAAAAAGAAAAUCCAACUCCUGCAACUGAAUCUAUAUGCUUUCUUUCUCUCUCUGAAAAGAUUUCUAAAGAGAACAAAGCAAGUUCCUUUAAACUAAACAAAAAGAAUGAGUUCCAGCAAGCAAUGCUGGGCAUCCCUCCUGCAUUCCAUAGGGAUCUGUGUCUGAGAAAGACCUCUUCUUUUGCUUUUCUACCCUAAGCUCACCUCUUGCUCUUCCUACCUUUCCUUUUCCUUUUCUUUAUUCAAGACAACCCUCCCCUCUUCAAAACUUGGAGACGCA